RNAcentral lists this unclassified non-coding RNA (492 nucleotides) under Hevea brasiliensis (rubber tree). Lineage: Eukaryota; Viridiplantae; Streptophyta; Magnoliopsida; Malpighiales; Euphorbiaceae. The record is from RNAcentral.
UUCUUCUUCUUCAUCAUCUUCUUCGUCGUCUUCUUCUUCUUUGUAGGCUGCUUCAAGGGAGUCCAUGCGAAGGCGUUUAGUUCUGGAUUUUGAAUUGGGGAUGAUUCUUCUCUUUCUUUUGAUUGAUAAAUAUGAGAAAACGCGAGUAUUUUCAGGUUUGGAAGAGAUUCAGAUUACAAAGACACAGAGAGAGGAAAAGCCAUUCUCAUUCUGAGCAAGAAGAACAGAAGAAACAUCGGCUUCGGAAUUGGGCUUGAAAAAGAUAGGUCUUGCUUCUCAGAAAUUUUUCCUGUUAAAUAGGGCCAAAGCCCAUUCACUUGCAAAAUCCAACAACCACUAAACGACUUGCAGCUUGCAGCCUCUCAGAAUAUUUUUCCUGUUAAGUGAAUAAUCUCAUAAUAUAAAUAAAUAUAUUCCAAUUCAAAAGCUCUCUAUUUUAAAAGUUAGAAAAAUAUAUAUUUUUAAUUAUUUUAGAAAUGAAUGUUUCCUGGA